Molecule: ribosomal RNA, 820 nt
Filed under: uncultured Bacillota bacterium
Lineage: Bacteria; Bacillati; Bacillota
Description: bacterial SSU rRNA
Rfam family: Bacterial small subunit ribosomal RNA
Source: RNAcentral
CAAGUCGAACGCGAAAGCCCCGCAAGGGGCAAGUAGAGUGGCAAACGGGUGAGUAACACGUGGGUGACCUGCCUUCGAGCGGGGGAUAACGUCCCGAAAGGGACGCUAAUACCGCAUAACAUCCUGCCUUUGAAGAGGUGGAGAUCAAAGCUGGGGAUCGCAAGACCCGGCACUUGAAGAGGGGCCCGCGUCUGAUUAGCUAGUUGGUGGGGUAACGGCCUACCAAGGCAACGAUCAGUAUCCGGCCUGAGAGGGCGGACGGACACACUGGGACUGAGACACGGCCCAGACUCCUACGGGAGGCAGCAGUGGGGAAUUGUUCGCAAUGGGCGCAAGCCUGACGACGCAACGCCGCGUGGAGGAUGAAGAUUUUCGGAUCGUAAACUCCUGUCGAAUGGGACGAACAGACUGCGGGUUAACAGCCCGUAGUCCUGACGGUACCGUUAAAGGAAACCCCGGCUAACUCCGUGCCAGCAGCCGCGGUAAUACGGGGGGGGUAAGCGUUGUUCGGAAUUACUGGGCGUAAAGGGCUCGUAGGCGGCCAACUAAGUCAUACGUGAAAUCCCUCAGCUUAACUGGGGAACUGCGUGUGAUACUGGAUGGCUUGGAUUUGGGAGAGGGAUGCGGAAUUCCAGGUGUAGCGGUGAAAUGCGUAGAUAUCUGGAGGAACACCGGUGGCGAAGGCGGCAUCCUGGACCAAUAUUGACGCUGAGGAGCGAAAGCCAGGGGAGCAAACGGGAUUAGAUACCCCGGUAGUCCUGGCCCUAAACGAUGAAUGCUUGGUGUAGCGGGUAUCGAUCCCUGCUGUGCCGAAGCUAAC